Molecule: long non-coding RNA, 1324 nt
Filed under: Betta splendens (Siamese fighting fish)
Lineage: Eukaryota; Metazoa; Chordata; Actinopteri; Anabantiformes; Osphronemidae
Description: lncRNA (ENSBSLG00000000817.1)
Source: RNAcentral
GGGGUUCAAGGUUGUAUUCAGACUUAGAGAUUGUCCCCCUGAAAGACCAAACACAGACUUCCUCAGGGUUUGAGGGCCUCUUUAUCAGACCCAGGUCUAUGAGAAUGUGUGUGUGUGUGUGUGUGUGUGUGUGUGUGUGUGUGUGUGUGUGUGUGUGUGCGUGCGUACUGGUGGUCCCUCGUUGGGUGGGAGAUUGACGGGUGCACUCAUAGCAACAUGCUGGAUUCAAAGUCAAAUGGGCUUAUUCUCAGGCCUGACUGUAACGACGACGGGCCUGGGAGGCGGCUUAGUAGACGCGAUGCGUUUGUGGGACUGACUGCUGGACUACGGUUGCUGUGUUGGAGGAAAGUUUCAUGUGUACCAGUCCUGUGUUCUGAAGGAACGGCUGUGAGGACAACAACCAGAGGUGAUGCGUGGCCCCCAGUGGCAUCACCUGAACGCCCCCUGGGAAAUGACCCAGGAUGAGGAUCACCACGCAACUCCUCAAGUGGCUCCAAGCCCCCAAAUAAUUACGGGGGGGGUUGUCCAGUUGUUCCUGGCUGAAGGGUAGUCGAUACUGGAAUUUGGGCAAGUUGCACUGUAUGUUCGCCAGCGACUGUGGAGGCGGGGCAGCGAAUGUCCAAGAGUCUUCCACCGAAAAUAAACCUGCAUGAGGGAGAAGCGGGGAGAGAGAGAGAGAGAGAGAGAGAGAGAGAGGGAGAGAGAGGGGAGGGAGGAGGAGGAAGGCAAAGAGGCUUUCAGCGGGGACAGGAGGACAGUCUCCGUUUCAAUGGAAUAAAAACUGCGCAAUUUCUUUAAGGAGCGCUUGGCCGGAUCGCGGGGGGACCAUUCCGCCGCGCGAGACGGAUGUUAGUUGCUUUCGGGCGCUUCGGGAAUCCGCGGCCGCUGCAACGCUCGCUUCCAGAUUUUUACCAGAUGGUGUUCAUGGGAGGAGAGAGGGAAAAGGAGAGAGAGCCGUGCAACCAUCCAGAAAGGCGCGAUGACUGUGCAGAGAUGCGGGAUCAGGGAUGAGUGCGUCCGUCAUGCCUUGCCCAUGGGCGAAGCACACCCCCCCCCCUCCCCAGCUCGGGCUGCGAUCUUUUUCUGCGUGUGUCGACGUUUGCACCCGGACUCGUUUCUAGACGUCCACCGGGCUUCGGUGUUUUUUGGAGGGGAGAGGGCUGCGUCAUUCCCGGCGGGAGACGGAGAUGGACCGCUGUGCACAUUUCCCCACUAUUACACAGGUCCAACACGGCACCUCGCGGCACCUCCCCGGCACGUUUCCGAUCGCACACAGGAGAAUGGGAAUAAGCACCAUGGCCCAUUAUCGCCGCGCUGCGUUUGA